UGUAAAACAGUUGCAUCGUCUGGUACA
This 27-nucleotide small RNA is filed under the name Bombyx mori (domestic silkworm). Its description in RNAcentral is "ovarian small RNA-35256". Lineage: Eukaryota; Metazoa; Arthropoda; Insecta; Lepidoptera; Bombycidae. The record is from RNAcentral.